UACGUAGGGGGCGAGCGUUGUCCGAAGUUACUGGGCGUAAAGCGCGUGUAGGCGGGUCUUUAAGUGAGGGGUGAAAGGUUUGGGCUUAACCCAGACACUGCCUUUCAUACUGGAGACCCUGAGUGCGGGAGAGGCGAGUGGAAUGGUCGGUGUAGCGGUGAAAUGCGUAGAUAUCGAUCGGAACACCCAUGGCGAAGGCAGCUCGCUGGCCUGUAACUGACGCUGAGACGCGAAAGCGUGGGGAGCAAACAGG
RNAcentral lists this ribosomal RNA (253 nucleotides) under uncultured bacterium. Its description in RNAcentral is "partial 16S ribosomal RNA". It matches the Rfam family "Bacterial small subunit ribosomal RNA", at positions 524 to 776 of the family's 1533-position model. The record is from RNAcentral.